AACGAACGCUGGCGGCAUGCUUAACACAUGCAAGUCGAACGGCCUUAUGAGUUUCGAUUCAUAAGUUAGUGGCAGACGGGUGAGUAACGCGUGGGGAUGUACCAAUUGGCUCGGAAUAACUACGGGAAACUGUAGCUAAUACUGGAUAAGCCCGAGAGGGGAAAGAUUUAUCGCCGAUUGAGCAGCCCGCGUUAGAUUAGGUAGUUGGUGGGGUAAAGGCCGCCCAAGCCCGCGAUCUAUAGCUGGUCUGCGGGGAUGAUCAGCCACACUGGGACGCAGACACGGCCCAGACUCCUACGGGAGGUAGCAGUGGGGAAGAUUGGACAAUGGGGGUAACCCUUAUCGAGCAAUGCCGCGUGAGUGAUGGAGGCCUUCGGGUUAUAAAGCUCUUUUAUCAGGGAAGGUGAUGACGGUACCUGAUGAAUAAGCUCCGGCUAACUUCGUGCCAGCCGCCGCCUUAA
Molecule: ribosomal RNA, 461 nt
Filed under: uncultured bacterium
Lineage: Bacteria
Description: partial 16S ribosomal RNA
Rfam family: Bacterial small subunit ribosomal RNA
Source: RNAcentral